Molecule: long non-coding RNA, 1265 nt
Filed under: Felis catus (domestic cat)
Lineage: Eukaryota; Metazoa; Chordata; Mammalia; Carnivora; Felidae
Description: lncRNA (ENSFCAG00000046984.1)
Source: RNAcentral
CGCUGCCGCGCCUGCACCCGCUCCCGUUCCCCCCACGUGGGGCGCCAGGCCCCGCCCUCUCCGGGCGUGCUCCCGGCCCCCUCCUCCGGUCACCUGUCCCGGAGACCCCGCGGCGUCGGCGACUCCGGCUCCGUCGGCCUCCGCGUCCGCAGCUCCCGGGCCGCGCGCGUCACUUCCGGUCCGCACCACGUGAAGAGGGGAACGAAAGAGGAUCACUUCCGGUCCUGCCGUCCCGUUUCCGGGAGUCUUAAAGGCGCCGCACCCCCCCACCUCCCCCCACCCCCUCCGUGGGUGGAAGCGGGAGUGUGUCUAGGUGGUACGCAAGGGUGUUCUGGAAGCUUUACUCAACUUCGUUGGGCCUAGAUGACCUUCUUCCAGGGAACUGCAAGACGCUCACUGAGAGAUCCGGAUGUGGCUGAAGACUCCAGGAGGUUCCAUGCAUUAACCAAAACGCCAACGUGAUAAACCUAUCAUUACACGUCAUACAAAAUUUGACCGUUGAAGUGGGCAGACCGGAUCCCCUGAGGUCACUGGAGUGGUGGAGAUCCUGGCGACUUUCAGUAUCUACUAAGACCACGCAAAUAACCCUUUGCGCUUACCGGCAAAAGAACGGCCCAGAUGAAAAGGCCCGACAAGGUCACAGGCCUGGUGAGGAUGCGCGGCAGCCGGGACUGACGCCCACUGCUGGAGGGGACACAGAACGCCCCAACUGCUGUGGAGUAAGUUCUACGACGGGCCGAGGCACACACAUACCCUGUGAGCCAGCAAAUGCACUGCGGGGCAUUUACCCAACAGAUGCGUGCACGUGCUCACCAAACGUGUCAUGAGCAAGAACGGCUGUGGCAGCUUCGACACAAUCGCCCCGCUUAUGCGCUGAUUUGUGUCCCCUCCCCAAUUCGUGUGUCAGAGUCCCUACCCCCCAGCACCUCAGAAUGUAACCUAAUUUGGACAUAAGCCUUUAACAGAGGCAGUUAAGUGAAAAGGAGGUCAUUAAGGUGGGCCCUAAUCUCCUAUGACUGGUGUCCUCAUAAGAAGAGCUUAGGGGCGCCUGGAUGGCUCAGUCGGUUAGGUAUCCGACUUUGGCUCAGGUCACAAUCUCGCGGUUCGUGGGUUCGAGCCCCGGGGUCGGGCUCUGCUGACAGCUCAGAGCCCGGAGCCUGCUUCGGAUUCUGUGUCUCCCUUUCUCUCUGCCCCUCCCCUGCUCAUGCUCUGUCUCUGUCCAUCUCAAAAAUAAAUAAAUGAACUUAAAAGAAGAGGAGAUUAAU